UGCAGUCGAGCGGGGAAAGUAGCUUGCUACUGGACCUAGCGGCGGACGGGUGAGUAAUGCUUAAGAAUCUGCCUAUUAGUGGGGGACAACAUCUCGAAAGGGAUGCUAAUACCGCAUACGUCCUACGGGAGAAAGCAGGGGACCUUCGGGCCUUGCGCUAAUAGAUGAGCCUAAGUCGGAUUAGCUAGUUGGUGGGGUAAAGGCCUACCAAGGCGACGAUCUGUAGCGGGUCUGAGAGGAUGAUCCGCCACACUGGGACUGAGACACGGCCCAGACUCCUACGGGAGGCAGCAGUGGGGAAUAUUGGACAAUGGGGGGAACCCUGAUCCAGCCAUGCCGCGUGUGUGAAGAAAGCCUUUUGGUUGUAAAGCACUUUAAGCGAGGAGGAGGCUACUGGUAUUAAUACUACCGGAUAGUGGACGUUACUCGCAGAAUAAGCACCGGCUAACUCUGUGCCAGCAGCCGCGGUAAUACAGAGGGUGCGAGCGUUAAUCGGAUUUACUGGGCGUAAAGCGUGCGUAGGCGGCUUUUUAAGUCGGAUGUGAAAUCCCUGAGCUUAACUUAGGAAUUGCAUUCGAUACUGGGAGGCUAGAGUAUGGGAGAGGAUGGUAGAAUUCCAGGUGUAGCGGUGAAAUGCGUAGAGAUCUGGAGGAAUACCGAUGGCGAAGGCAGCCAUCUGGCCUAAUACUGACGCUGAAGUACGAAAGCAUGGGGAGCAAACAGGAUUAGAUACCCUGGUAGUCCAUGCCGUAAACGAUGUCUACUAGCCGUUGGGGCCUUUGANGCUUUAGUGGCGCAGCUAACGCGAUAAGUAGACCGCCUGGGGAGUACGGUCGCAAGACUAAAACUCAAAUGAAUUGACAGGGGCCCGCACAAGCGGUGGAGCAUGG
RNAcentral lists this ribosomal RNA (890 nucleotides) under proteobacterium enrichment culture clone CTBE CDB1009E11. RNAcentral's name for it is "bacterial SSU rRNA". It matches the Rfam family "Bacterial small subunit ribosomal RNA", at positions 56 to 942 of the family's 1533-position model. Lineage: Bacteria; Pseudomonadati; Pseudomonadota. The record is from RNAcentral.